Molecule: ribosomal RNA, 389 nt
Filed under: Chaetoceros sp.
Lineage: Eukaryota; Bacillariophyta; Thalassiosirophyceae; Chaetocerotales; Chaetocerotaceae
Description: partial small subunit ribosomal RNA
Rfam family: Eukaryotic small subunit ribosomal RNA
Source: RNAcentral
AUUCCAGCUCCAAUAGCGUAUAUUAAAGUUGCUGCAGUUAAAAAGCUCGUAGUUGCAUUUCCGAGGCAAGGGAUUAGUCCGACCUUUGGUGGGUAUUUAAUCCUCUUGCCUCGUCCUUGAGUGGUGCUUCUUGGUAAUAAGUUAUCGAGGAGAUAGCCGCUCAUCGUUUACUGUGAGAAAAUUAGAAUGUUCAAAGCGGGCUUAUGCUGUUGAAUAUAUUAGCAUGGAAUAAUAAGAUAGGACCUCGGUACUAUUUUGUUGGUUUGAGAACCAAGGUAAUGAUGAAUAGGGACAGUUGGGGGUAUUCGUAUACAGUUGUCAGAGGUGAAAUUCUUAGAUUUACGGAAGACGAACUACUGCGAAAGCAUUUACCAAGGAUGUUUUCAUUA